Non-coding RNA from Gossypium raimondii (Peruvian cotton), 107 nucleotides. NCBI's taxonomy places the organism in Eukaryota, Viridiplantae, Streptophyta, Magnoliopsida, Malvales, Malvaceae. The record is from Rfam.
AUGCCAUGAUGAGUACAUUUUUGAAACAACUCCUUGAAUCAUACUCAUGCAUCAUAGAGGGAUUCAUAGUCAAGUUGUUAAAAUGUGGUGCUUUCAUUUCUGAGCUU